UAGCAGUAACAUACAAAAUAUAAAAAUGUUCAAUGUCGUUCAUUGGAUUUCUCAUUUCAAUAGGUACGAUUAAAAAUCUGAAUUUGGGGGAAAUAAAAUCAAAUGUCGACAACACUGUUGAUAAAACAAAAAUCAAUAAAAAUGGCGUAACGUAGAAAUCAAUAAAAUACGAAAACUUUUUAGCCAAUUUAAAUCACUGUUUCAUAUGUUUUUCUUAGAAAUUUAUCGUCUUUUUUUCUUAAAUUGAGUAUACUUGUUUUGUAUACACUCGUAUAAAGAAUCAGUGAGCGCUAAUAACCAUAACCGUGAUUGAGAAAUGUAUUCCUUGGUUUGGACUUGCAUUUUGCGUUUUCACGAAGAUCAAAGGAAAGGUGGACCACAUCUAGCGAAUGCCGAAGAUGCACCAAACAUCUUCUGGGGGUUCUGGGGACUUCUGGGGGUGUUCUUACUGUGAAGGCGAUAAGGGCAUGUAAAACAACCUCCAAGUGCAAGCUGCUGGAAAAACUACCUCAGGAGAGUGGCUGGACGAGAACGACUGGAUGGAAAAGGCUAAAGGGACUCUUAUACAUGCAUGCAGUAUCAUAACUAUAUAAGACUGCAAUUACGGAGGUGGAAAGCAUAGUUUUGUCAUCACAGAAAUAAGGAGUUGAUCAUCUGAAUUUGUGUCUACACUGGGAACACAGUGAAAUCCUGCACCUGAGGUGCUGUGUGAGAAGCAACAAAACUGAUAAAGAAACAUGUUGGAACUAUACCUGCAUUCCUAUGAACAAAUUGAG
This is a long non-coding RNA of Maniola jurtina (meadow brown), 776 nucleotides long. RefSeq lists it as uncharacterized. NCBI's taxonomy places the organism in Eukaryota, Metazoa, Arthropoda, Insecta, Lepidoptera, Nymphalidae. The transcript is spliced from 2 exons. The record is from RefSeq and is a predicted model, not a curated record.